GGCCGUUUCCCUGCUUGCACCCGAACGGGUGGGCUAUGACCCUUGAGGUAGGGGAGACAAUCAUUCCGAAGAGGC
RNAcentral lists this non-coding RNA (75 nucleotides) under Fibrobacter succinogenes. RNAcentral's name for it is "Fibro-purF RNA". It matches the Rfam family "Fibro-purF RNA". The record is from RNAcentral. Lineage: Bacteria; Pseudomonadati; Fibrobacterota; Fibrobacteria; Fibrobacterales; Fibrobacteraceae.